RNAcentral lists this long non-coding RNA (7172 nucleotides) under Coffea arabica (coffee). RNAcentral describes it as "long non-coding RNA (CARA_LNC002398)". Lineage: Eukaryota; Viridiplantae; Streptophyta; Magnoliopsida; Gentianales; Rubiaceae. The record is from RNAcentral.
CUCAAUGCACCCUACCCCAUCCACUGGAAGAAGGAAAACAUAUGAUUGUGACUUGAAUUAUUUACUUUUCUUGUGGUGUUUUGGUUCCAAUUAUGAUGUUUAUACACUUUGUAUGCUGUUUCCUUUUUCACUUUACCUCAACCUGUGUAUUUGUAUGUAAUGACAGGCUGUGAUUGAAGCUCAGUUAAUUGGCCCUUUGGUCAAUUUGCUUCAAACUGCUGAGUUUGACAUAAAAAAAGAGGCUGCUUGGGCUAUUUCAAAUGCUACCUCUGGUGGAACUCAUGAACAAAUCAAGUAUGUUUUGUUUCUCAUCGCCUUCCGUGUUCAGUGCAGAAUGCGUGGACGUGAAUUUUAUGUUUUGUGUCUUGUGUAGGUACUUGGUUUCUCAAGGCUGUAUAAAGCCAUUGUGUGAUCUCCUUGUGUGCCCAGAUCCAAGAAUCAUUGCUGUCUGUUUAGAAGGUCUUGAGAAUAUAUUGAAGGUUGGGGAAGUAGAAAAAAGCCUUGGCAACAGUGGAGAUGUUAAUUUCUAUGCUCAAUUGGUUGAUGAAGCUGAAGGCUUAGAAAAGAUUGAGAACUUACAGAGCCAUGACAAUAAUGAAAUUUAUGAAAAAGCGGUCAAAAUACUAGAGACGUAUUGGUUGGAGGAGGAGGAUGAAACAUUGCCAGCUGGUGAUGGAGGCCAGCCUGGAUUCAACUUUGGAGGGAAUGAUAUGCAACUUCCACCUGGUGGAUUUAAAUUUGGCUGAAGGUAAAGAUUCAGAUGUGCAGAUCCAACUGUUCCCUGUUCCACAUGCAGCUUCCAUGUUCUGCAUGCGGCUUCUGACAUGCUAAACAUGAAGUUUCGUUUCUGGCUGAUUAAAUCAAAUCAAAUUUGUCAAUUUCCAUCUUCGACUAUGGGAACCUUGAUAAUUCAGGCUCAACUGAAACCUUCUAUGAGAUAUAUUUAUUUACUCAUCCUGGAGAUUUCAAUUGUUAUGCAAGUACUAUGGCUUCUUAUGCACCUUCUUAAUAACGGACAUAAAUUUGCAGGGUCAUUAGUUGGUGGAUACGACCUCAGAUUGAGGACAGCGUGUUUGUUGGCGUCAAGUCAAGGUCAGGUCGGGUCAGUUCAAGUUAGAGCACCUCACAGAGUCUGGCUGUCGUAUGGUUCAGUGUCGGUUGCCUUAAGGAGGUGCCAAGGCAGGUCUUUUGAUACUACGGUGGAGAAUAAGAAAGGGUGCGUGCUCACUGGUUGAUGGUAUGUUGGGCUUGGUUAAUUCCCCUGAUGGAGAAUGGCAUGGGGAAAAAUGAAGGGUUUGUGGACUCUUCAAAUGAGUUGUCAGAACACGGGGUUUUGUAUUUUGUCUUUUCAUGCCUUGUAAUUGAGUACAUGGUACCACAGAGUCGUCAGGUAUUGAUGGGUAGUUACCGAGUUCUGUAUGUAUUGAUCAUGAUUCGGGAUUGUUUUGUUGGUGUAUUGUAAGCAAGGGAAGAGAGAGACGAGAGUUCACAAUUCACUUGAUAUCCUAGUAUGGUAUGUUUACUAGUCAUUUGUUUGUAAGUAGGUGUUGUCAUGCAGCUUUUCAGUUUCUUGCAGACACGGUUGGUCUUCUAGAUUGUACUACAGUUUUGUUCCUCCCAGGCACUGAAAGUUCAUAGUUUUCGGAAUCGGCUUUGCCUUACAUUUUUUUUUUUGGGAUACGAUGAACUUACAUUUGCUUUAUAUUAGGGGAAUGGAGGACCCAAAGAGAUCGAAAGAGAACUUGGAGAGGAUUGAGGCUGGAUUUUUAGAAUAUAGACAAAGAGAUUUGGUCUCUUGAUUUAUACUCAAGUACAGCUUUAAACUUCUUUUGGGACCAACUAUAUUAGGAGUAGUUGCGGUACUAGAUAUCUUUGGAAUCCAUGAACAUGCAAAUCUUUUUUUCGGGGAUGUGCUGAGCUGACUUUUUACCCGGCAAAUCCCAAAAUCAAAAUGGAAUGUGCAGCAUUCCACUGAAACGAAAUCAGGAGAGACGUAUCAUUUAUGCCCACGGUUUGGUCAUGCACUCAUUUUCCACUGCUCAAAAAAACCUCAAGAGUCAGCUAUCCAGCAUUCCAGCUGCUAACCUUUUAAACGUAGGAAACUAAGGUGAAUUAGGAGGAGCAGGAAGGGCUGUAUUUGAAUGGUGUAACUUUAAGUGAACAAAUUGUAAUUGUUUAUUAAUUGUUUGUACAAUUUUUCCAUCAUAGAAGUGUAAUAUUUGGAAAUUAUUUAUGUGGAUUUCAUAUAUUCUCUCAAUCCCAUUUUGAUUGUCUUGAUUUUUUUUCCAUACAGUUUAAGAAAAAUUAAUUAACUUCGUUGAAAGAGUAAAUCUAGUCUACUUUUUUUUUAAAUACACUUACAUUAUUAUUAGGAGUAUAACUAAUUAUUAUAUCUUUACAGUAAUUACAACAGCAAUACUAAUGAAAAGUUGCAUUCAAGACAAGAAAUGAGAACAAUUAUUGAAUAAGUUAUAUUAUACUCAUUAAUAACAAAGUAUAUUAAAUAAGGGUAUUUUAGAGAAAUUAAAAGUUACUAUAUUCUUUAAUUGGAAAAUAGACUAUAAAUUAGGGCGAAUGAAAAAGAAAAAUAACACUAUCAAAAUGAGAAAGGGAGAAUAUAAUAAUUGUGUCCCUGUCAUGAGGUUGUACAAGUCAUUAAAUAAUGAGUUACAAUUUACUGAAAAAUGUUACGAACAUGUUUAGGAAUAAUUGUAAUAAAAAAUUGUUCUUGCCCGUCUUGAAUUAAAAAAGAUUAAAUUUCACCUUGUCCAUCAGUUUUGAACUUCAUUAUCUCUCUUGAAUUGGCCCAAAUCUCCACUGCAAGAAUUCCAAGCCAUAGAGUUUUGUUAUGUUUUUUAUGUUUAGUCUUUUACUAGUUAUAUUUAUCCAGAAAAGAAAAAAUUAUGAACACAAAGGGUUUGUUCUCAUUGAUUAUUUUAACUAACUAUAGAUUCUAAUUUUGGAUAACCAAUUUUUGUGACUUUUUAUUGUUUUUGUAUUCUAAUUAUGGAUUUUUUAAUGGUCAAAAAGGCUAAAACCUAUAAUCACUUAAAUAGUAAAAACUGAAUUAUUCUCUAUUAUCAAUUUCUAUGAUCAGAUUCUGUAAAAUCUUAAAGCAAUCGACAGCAAAGCCAAAUUCAAUUACGAACAUAAGAUCACAAAUUCAAUACUUUAGAAGGCAAGAGAGGCCCCAGUGCAGCCCAGAAUGCAGAACCCAGGCCCAAUGACCAUACAAGAUUAAUGUGGAAAACAAGUCCUCCAAUAAUCCAAAACCCUUCCCUUCUCUCUUUCUUCACCUGGUAGACUACAAUUCCCUCCCUCUCUCUCUCUCUCUCUCUCUCUCUCUCUCUCACUCCCCCACACUCAGUCACACGCAUACGCGCAUACACUGAACAAUUUCAAUCACCGCUUUCUAAUAUUUCUUUUGAUUUGUGCAAUUCAUUUAUUCCCUUAAUUGGAGUGAUAUAAUCAUAUCAAUUUCCGAUUUGUUUUGUUAGAUUUUGAUUAGAGUGAAGGAAAUCAGCUUAGUAGGAACGAUGUCGUUGAGACCGACCGAGAGAACGGAGGUUCGCAGGAACCGAUACAAGGUUGCGGUCGAUGCUGAAGAGGGACGGCGGAGGAGGGAGGAUCAAAUGGUGGAGAUCCGAAAGAGUAAGCGGGAGGAGAAUCUUCUUAAGAAGCGUCGUGAAGGCCUUCAGAUGUCUCAACCCUUCCCUGCGCCCGUCCCCUCCAAUAACAUCGAGAAAAAGGUCUUAAUUGUUUUCCAAGUAAUCUGAGGAAUUAUUUAGACGUAAUUUGAUUAAUUGAUCCAUUUGAAAUUGUGCGAUCUGAUGUUGGCGAGAAUGUGAAUAGGUAUUUUGUAUUUAUGUUAACUUUUCUGCUUUUGAUUUUUCACCAUCUUUUUUUCAAUCAUCAAUUCAUGGUGGUAUCAUAAAUUAUGAAGAAAAAAUUGGUUUCCAUUUGUUCUUAUCUUGGCAUGUAUAUGGAUCAACUACUUGUGCAGAAGCGUUAGUACUUGAGAUUUGGCUGUGAAGUCCCAAGCUCGUCACUAAUAAUAAUCUGGAUUGUUUUCUCGUUGUUUUUUACAUUGCGAUUCCUGUAUUUACUUACUCAUGCUCUCUGUUUGUUUAUGAACACAGUUUGUUUUACGUGCGAUUCUGUCUUUUAUAAGCCUGCUGCAGUUAAGUGGGAAUAGUCUGUUUUUGAGCUCUGAUUGUUUUUAUACGACAAUCCUUAGAGGUGACUUAUUUUGCUGCAGUUGGAGAGUCUCCCUUUGAUGGUGAAUGGAGUUUAUUCGAAUGAUAACAAUUUGCAGUUGGAGGCAACCACUCAAUUUCGUAAAUUGCUUUCAAUAGGUAUGAUUGUGUUCCUUAUUUAACGUGCAUUUUUUAAUUAUCAUAGCUCAUCUUAUUUCUGAAAAUUUAAUUCCAGAAAGAAGCCCUCCCAUUGAGGAAGUUAUACAAUCUGGAGUUGUUCCUCGCUUUGUUGAGUUCCUUAUGAGGGAGGAUUUCCACCAGCUCCAGGUUUGAAGCUGAAGCUUUUUUGCAGGAUAUCUGUUUAUUGACUUUGUAAUUUUGUAAUUUGAGCUGUGUUUUGCUUAAUUAAUUAAUUAAUUUUGUUAGUUUGAGGCUGCUUGGGCACUUACAAACAUUGCAUCUGGAACUUCGGAGAAUACCAAGGUGGUGAUUGAUCACGGGGCUGUACCCAUUUUUGUCAAGCUUUUGGGUUCUCCAAGUGAUGAUGUCCGUGAGCAGGUAAUGUGUAAUGUUGACCAGUUCUUUUGAGGCAUUAUUUGGCUGCGAGAAAUUUUGGUUAGGAAAGUGUUGUGUUUCCUAGACUCUUAAUUUUGUCAUUUUGAGAGGCAAUUUGCUUCUAGGGAAUCAUGGAAAAAUGUUUGGCAUUUUAAAUAAAGCAACGAAGGAAAUUGAUUAUUCAUUGAACACCAAAAGCAGUGAGAAAAAUUAGGGAGGUGAAUGAAUAAAGGAGGAGUCCAUUGUCCUCUCUUGUGACUCGAGAAGUUCUAAGAGUGCACGCACUGCUAUCUCAAGUUUACAUUGUGGUUCUUAAUUGUUGCUUGUUUCUAUUUAGACAAUGUCUUGUACACUUCCACAAAAUCUACUUCUUUCUAUUUGUGUUUCAACAUAUUUGGUAUUGUUUUUGGUGGCUCAGCCUUUCUUUUGUAUCAUGGAUGUUUAUUUUCCUAUUCUGUUCAUGUUAUGAUUCAUUUUCAUUGUGGGUGAAUGACUUUGUUGGUUGCACAUAACAUUAGACUUGGAGGAUUUGCUGCUGGUAAAAGAAUAAUUUUACGGUCCUUAAGUUUGUUGUUUAGUUUGUGUCAGAGUGGGAAAAGGCAAUUGAUGGUCCUUAAGUAAUUGUUUUUAGUUCUUGUAGUUAUGCUGUAUUGAUGAGGGAAUGGUUAAAAGGUAAAAACAGACAAUAGGAAUUGAGGUUGAUAAAUCGUUCAUUAGUGUCCUUUUGGUUACUACCAACAAAAUAGGAUGCAAGGAAAUAAGUUUUAGCAUUGUAGGGAGACUCACUAGAGUUGUCAUGAAUUUGUAGGCUGUAUGGGCACUGGGAAAUGUUGCAGGUGAUUCUCCAAGGUGUCGUGACCUUGUCCUUGGGCAUGGGGCUUUAAUCCCUUUGCUGGCACAAUUGAAUGAGCAUGCCAAGCUUUCAAUGCUGCGAAAUGCUACCUGGACAUUGUCAAACUUCUGCCGGGGCAAACCACAACCUCCAUUUGAGCAGGUUUGCUGCGUAAUUAUGUUGUGCUUUUGUUCUCUUCUUUUUAGACUUGUUAAGUAGUUUUGAUUUUAGUCUGAGAAUAUAAUAACAUGCUGUAAGAUUCAAUUGUCAGGUGAGGCCAGCUCUCCCCGCACUUCAGCGUCUUGUUCAUUCAAAUGAUGAAGAAGUCCUUACUGAUGCAUGCUGGGCUCUCUCCUAUCUCUCUGAUGGUACAAAUGACAAAAUUCAAGCUGUGAUUGAGGCAGGUGUCUGUCCAAGACUUGUGGAGCUACUUGUGUGAGUGUUCUUUUACACAAUUUACAUCUCACUUAUCUUUGUUGUUUCUCAUUAAUUUCUGAAAAUCAUGGUUAAAACAAAUUUUACUUGCCAGGCAUCCAUCUCCUUCUGUGCUUAUUCCUGCACUUCGCACGGUUGGGAAUAUUGUUACAGGAGAUGAUUAUCAGACUCAGGUACUAUCUUCAGCCGGGCUCUUUAUUUUGAUGUUUUAUUUAUCUUUUGAAAGAAAAUGAUAACUUUGUGCAGGCAUACUGAACCUUAGUACCUGUCAUUUGACCCUUUAAUAGUUAAGUGUGUUUUACUUGUCUGUUCUUUAUUGAAAUGUUGUUUGCAUAUUACUGCACUUGCCAUCUUGCAUCCCUUACUGGUACCGAUAUCCUGUGACAUCUGGUUGGAUGAAUAUUUAGUAUGUUCUGUAUUUUCCCCCCUUUGGCUAUUACUGCUAUCAUCCGCUGCAUGAAAUAUUGGAAUGUAUAUAGAAUGGAAAGUCUCUCAUCUCCAAUUAUUACUGUUUUGAGUUUUUAUCUUGACAGUAGGAAGAAGUUCAUUGAGAUUGAAUGUUAAGUACUUUAUUUCAGCUUCCUUCCACUCCCACCCAAAAAUAUAUAGAGAGAGUUGAAGAAAGAGAAGUAAACAAGAAUUAUAAUGUAUUUGAGAUUUUGACAUUCAGUCUUUGCUUCAGUGUAUAAUUGACCACGGGGCACUCCCUUGUUUGCUGAGCUUAUUGACUCAUAAUCAUAAAAAGAGCAUCAAGAAAGAAGCUUGCUGGACUAUUUCCAAUAUUACUGCUGGAAAUAAGGAGCAGAUUCAGGUAUAGUGUUUUCUUCUUAAAUUUUCUUAUGUAUGAUGUCCUGCUGAUUUACUCUUUGAUCCCCCACCCCGUCCCCCUCUGGAAAAUGGAAAACCUAUCAUUGUCUUUAGAAUUAUUUACUUUGUGUGGUGUUUUGGUUCUAAUUAUGAUGUUUAUACACUUUUGUAUGCUGUUUCCUUUUUCACUUUACCUCAACCUGUGUAUUUUUAUGUAAUGACAGGCUGUGAUUGAAGCUCAGUUAAUUGGCCCUUUGGUCAAUUUGCUUCAAACUGCUGAGUUUGACAUAAAAAAAGAGGCUGCUUGGGCUAUUUCAAAUGCUACCUCUGGUGGAACUCAUGAACAA